This is a non-coding RNA of Polyporus arcularius HHB13444, 97 nucleotides long. Lineage: Eukaryota; Fungi; Basidiomycota; Agaricomycetes; Polyporales; Polyporaceae. The record is from the annotation of a GenBank genome assembly.
GCCCGCCUAGCUCAAUCGGCCAGAGCGUCAGACUUUUACGCAUGCAUCGGCGUGCCAUGUAAUCUGAAGGCUGCGAGUUCGACCCUCGCGGUGGGCU